RNAcentral lists this ribosomal RNA (274 nucleotides) under uncultured bacterium. RNAcentral's name for it is "partial 16S ribosomal RNA". It matches the Rfam family "Bacterial small subunit ribosomal RNA", at positions 523 to 796 of the family's 1533-position model. The record is from RNAcentral.
AUACGGAGGGUGCAAGCGUUAUUCGGAAUCACUGGGCGUAAAGGACGCGUAGGCGGGUUGGCAAGUCAGAUGUGAAAUCCAACAGCUUAACUGUAGAACUGCAUUUGAAACUGCUAACCUAGAGUAUGGGAGGGGGAGAUGGAAUUAGUGGUGUAGGGGUAAAAUCCGUAGAUAUCACUAGGAAUACCGAAAGCGAAGGCGAUCUCCUGGAACAUAACUGACGCUAAGGCGUGAAAGCGUGGGGAGCAAACAGGAGUAGAUACCCUAGUAGUCC